This is a long non-coding RNA of Ctenopharyngodon idella (grass carp), 4902 nucleotides long. RefSeq lists it as uncharacterized. Lineage: Eukaryota; Metazoa; Chordata; Actinopteri; Cypriniformes; Xenocyprididae. The transcript is spliced from 4 exons. The record is from RefSeq and is a predicted model, not a curated record.
GGCUUUUUACCCUGGCAUUGCUUUUAAACUACAUAGCAAAUGGUUUGUAAUGUUUAAAAAUAUCUGAGUUUUACUUUUUGUACUUAUAAUUCCAAUGCAACUGUUUUUUGUUUUUCAUUUAUUAUUCUGAAAAUAAAAUUAAGAUAACAACCCCUUACAGGCCUAAGUCUUAUAACAGAAGGUACAACACUUAUAGGACAAGAGCAGCCAAACACAGCCUUGAAAGAGGAAGAGCCUGACCACUCAAAAUGGCAACAUUAAAUAUGGCUGCUACAGAAAAGCAAGUCAAUUACACAACUACACAAUUACCAUCUUGAGCACAGUUGAGGGUGCAAGCCUUUCAAAGUAUACUCCUUUGGCUGUGAGCAUGGACAGACACGUUUGCCGUUUCUAGUGAACUUUGUUUUCAAGUGCUCAAGUCACUCGCACAUGCGCUGUUGUACGCACACCUUCCCCACAGUAUAUGGUGUGUAAACACCGUUAAUUUACACAACAUUGUUGUGUACAUCAGACAUUAGCUUAUGUACCAGUGGAUAAUAAGUGACACAUGGUUGGUAUACCAGGAACAAGACAAUAGUGUAAAUGUGGAUCACUCUCUGCUCAAGCAGCUGAACCAGCUCUACUGGUUGUGAAAGAUGACACAGCCUUCACAGAGGAGAAGAUGAUGAGGGCUGAUAAACGUCUGAUGGAAAUGAUUACUAGCAGUACAAUUCUCAAUACAAACUAUUGUAGACGUUUGAAAGAAAUAAAAUCAAAUUGCUUUGUAAUAAGUGAAGAUGAUAAUGCUUUUUUGGAGUUGUUUAAUCAUCCUCUGCUAAGACAUUUAAAAUGUUUUUAUUUUCGAAUGUUUUUGAUUUCAUCCAAGUCUAUGCACCUGUGUGAAUUUUGGUUGUUGUGUUUCUGCUCGUCUCUUCUCUUUUUUCUGUUCUUGUUGUUUCUCUCACUAACCAGCACAAGUGGUUGAAACAAUGGAUGGAUGAUCGGAUUAUCUAAUUAAUGACAAGUUAAGUUACUAUAAGUUGCAAUGACUUAAAACAUAAAGAAAUAUCCUGAUAUUUCUCUAGAAUGCUUUAUGUCAUUUUCCAACUAACUUCAUGCUGAGAAGACAAUCAGUACACUUACAAUUUGGAGGCUUGAGAAAAAAAAAAGUGUUUGUGUUUGCCUAUUACUGGUUUGUCCAGUUCCCUUGAAACAUGUUGAUGAAAGCAGUGAUAGUCCAAACAUGCAUCAGUUUUAGUUUCUCUCUCACGGUGGUUGGAACUUUUAUAAUGAAAAAAUCCAUUUUACAAUGAAAUCCAACCAUUUUCGGGAAUUUUUUUUAGAAAUCUGCAAUAAAGACACUAAAAACGACUGAGAGCAGAAUUGAUCACUGCGAAGGAUUAAUUAUUAUUUCAAGCAAGAUAUUUGGCUUUUACAAUGGCAGACGAACUGCGAUUAGUGUUAUUAGGAGGAUAUCAGAGUGGUAAGAGUAAUGUGGCACACUCCUUUUUAAAUGUUAAAUGUGAAUCUGACCAAACAACCACACAGUGUGUGAAGAUGGAAGGAAACAUACAUGGCAGGAAAAUCAUUCUUGUGGACACCCCAGGCUGGUGGAAGUGUUAUCAGUUAUGUGACACCCCACAGCGUCUGAAAGCAGAGCUUGUUAAGAGCACCAAUAUCUGUCCACCGGGACCUCAUGUUUUCCUCCUGGUGAUAGAGGCUGAUUUUGCUUUCUCAGAGAAGCACAGGAAAGUAGCCGAGGGUCACGUGCAGUUCAUUGGUGAUGACAUCUGGAAUCAAACCAUAAUAGUCUUCACAAAACUCAAACAUUUGGGUGACAAAACUAUAGAGCAAUAUGUAGAACGUGAAGGGGAAAACUUGAACAAGCUUACUCAAAAAUGUGGAAACAGAUAUGUUGGCUUUGACACUGACCUUGAUACAGAUGGCUCCCAGGCGAAGGAAUUAUUUAGGCAGAUAGAGAAACUUGUUGCUGAAAACAAUGGCUGCUUUUUUCAAGUUGAUGCAAGAAGGCUGAUGGAUCUGGAGAUUACAAUGAAAAAUGUGGAAGAGAAAGCAGCUGCAAGAGAACACCAAGUUUUGGAGAAGAGAAGAAAACUGAAAGAAAUUAAAAGUGCAGGUCAGUGUCGAAUUUUAGGUUGGUCAAGUUUGGCUGUAACGAUUCCUCGAUUAAAUUCGAAUAAUUUAAUUUUUAAAGAGGUGGUUCAGUGUUUUUAUUCUAGGCUUAAUUGUGUUUAUGGGGCACAGUUUAACAUGCCUUAAUGCUUCGUUUUUUAAAAAAAACUGUAUUUUUCAUAUAUUUUACCUUUAUUCUAAACCGCUGUUUCCAUUGUCAUUUGAACGGCUGGUUUGACUUCCCAAUUCUAUGACACCACUCCCUCGGAAAUACGCAAUGGGCUCAGAUUGGUUAGCUGGCCCAGUGUAUUGUGAUUCACUGAAGCGUCCGGAAACACCACGGCCCUUACCAUUAGUUGUUACAUGUGCUUCGGUUUAAAUGUAAAUAAUGGCGUCUAUUCAGUUGUUAAGUCUGACGUCAAGCGGCAGCGCUUCCGGGUCCAAACGUUCUCUCAUACCACAAGAAAACAACAAACGGUGCUAAUAUACACAAACGAUGUGGUGUAAUACUACCAAAAAAUUAUAAUCAUAACCUUUAUCUCCAUACCAAAAUCCCAGAUGGCCAGACAGUGAUUCAUCUUUUAUAAAUGUUAAAAUAUUAAUGUCUGUGAUGCUGUGAGCACGGAGACGGUUUUGUAGACUUCAAGUAUUUUAAAUGUUUAACUUUUUAAAAUGUUAAAUGUUUAAUAUGAAUAAAUAGCGUUCAUAAACGGCCAUCGAGAUGGCAUUCUCAAGUGAAACGAAUCGAGGCUUGGACCCGGAAACGGCGUUCCUUACGUCACGACUUAACAAGCGGAUAUUGCCGUAUCAAAUUGAGCCGAUAGCAGUAUUGAUGAAGAGGGUCAAGCAGAACCUCAGCAAGCACGGUUUUUAAAGGACGUUUAUGAAUGGUAAGUAUUUCCUUUUGUACUUGUGUCAAAGUGUUUAGAUAUGCUGUCACUUGUAAAUGUUACUGCUGUUUGUUAGCUUUCAAUAUACGGUUUUAUCCUGAUUAAAGCUUUACUGUAGCUGAAUACAUGAAUGAGUAGUGGCAUUUUUGUAAAGGUAUCAUUUAAUUUAUAGCAUGAACAACUGUUUGUCUAUGAACAUAGAAGUUUGUUGGCGUUUGUUGGAAAAGUAUACAAUAGAAUUUAGCUAACUGAAGCAAAAGAGCGUUGGUCUUUGUUUACGUCCUUGGUGCAACCAAAAAAUAGCAACAUAAUACAUUUAAAAGACAUGUACAAACAAUAAAACAUACUUACAUUGUUUCAAUUUGCCCGUGUCGAGUAACCGGUAAAAUGCCGAAAGUGGCGCUUUCCAUGGGCAAGAAUCCAUGAAACGCAUAGACUUGGUCGGCAUUACUGGGAAUGCCCACAAAAACGUCAUAUCCGUUUAUGCCGUGGGGGAAAGCAAACCAUUCGGUUGUAGCAUUUCUGUCGUAAAGCAAUGGCCAAAUAUUAAAGAUUAAUUGGACAUUUGAAAUAAAUGUUGUAAGCCAAUAUUAUACAAGGAUUAGAUCGCGUUGUAAAGUGUAAAAACAAUCGUCAGGCCACUGGCGCCCUCUGCAAGCAUGUGUUAUAAUACAUAAAGAAGAUCUGUCUCUUCUAUUUUAAUAUUUUAUUUAUAAUAUAUUAAUAUCAUAUAAAUAUAACUAAAAUAUUUCAUUACAAUAUUAUAAAAUAAUAUUUCAUUUAUAAUUAUAAAUAUUUAUUAAUUCUAUAUAUUUUAUAUAUAUAUUACAAAAAAAAUUUCAACAGAUGCAGGGCAUGAUGCUACACCUCUGAAUAUUGUGCUGCUGGGCUGGGUCCUGUCAGGCAAGACAUUAGCUGGCAGUGUCAUCUUGGGCGCUGACAUUUCAUUUGACAAGACUGCGAAGUGUGUCCGAACAUGUGGAGAAGUGAAUGGACGACAGAUCACUGUGGUGGACACACCAAGCUGGUGGAAAUUCCUUCCGCAUCAACUGAACGCAGAUUCAGUGAAAACUGAGAUCUUGAAGGCAAUGGAUUCUUCUCCCCACGCAUUCCUCUUGGUUAUACCAGCAGACACAUCGUUCUUAGAAGAGCAGUUGGAAGUCAUAUUAGAAAACAUGAGACCACUUGGAGAAAAGGUCUGGAGGCAAACCAUGGUGCUCUUCACAUGGGGAGGAUCAUUGGGAAACAAACCAAUUGAGUACCACAUUGAAAGUGAAGGGGACGCCCUUGUGAGACUUGUUGAGAUGUGCGGGAACAGAUAUCAUGUGUUUGAGAGCAUGAGAGAGGAUCGCACCCAAGUAAAUCAGUUACUGGAGAAGAUUGAGGAAAUGAUAAUGGAAAGUGCUCUGCUAAAAAGCAAUGAUGAACAUCAGGGAAAGAAAAAGAAGUUUCAAGAAAGAGAAACCCUAUCCGAGUGGCUUCCAGUUAAGGAUGUAAAAAAAUUACUUGAUGAAGAAUGGGAGAGGAGUGACGCUAUGACGAAAGAGAUGUUGAAAACAAUUAGCCAACAAAGAGCUGUCAAACGAGGACAGAGCAUACAGUUACCUCCUAAUUUCAGUGGAGAAGCAAUAAAUACAGAACUAUUUAUCAACAAACACCAGCUAAAAGAUGCACUUGAGAGAGAAUGGAAUCGUCGGGAAGCAGUAGACAGCUUUAGGAUCCUAUAUAAACUAAAAUGCUUGGAUGACAAUGCAGACAUGUCCUCAUGUGUCGAUGACAAGGACAUACAGAUGUCUUUGGCUAAAGUGCACGACUGGUAUCAGAGGCAUCAUUCAUCAGACUAUGCAAGUGUUUCCAGCAAUGAGGAACAUGACAAGACUCAACAGGAUGGAGAUUAAUC